Long non-coding RNA from Eurytemora carolleeae, 389 nucleotides. RefSeq lists it as uncharacterized. The transcript is spliced from 5 exons. The record is from RefSeq and is a predicted model, not a curated record. Lineage: Eukaryota; Metazoa; Arthropoda; Copepoda; Calanoida; Temoridae.
UCUUGUUCAACAGUUGGGUGAGUACUCUGAACAAGGAAAUAAAUGCUGUUGCUGUUGCAAUAACUACGAGGGAGAAAACGAAUUUGAGAUAACAGACAGAUUUGGUCACCAGAUAUUUCAUGCUAAAGAGGAGUCAGGGUUCUGCGGAAGACAAUGCUGCAAUUCACUAAGAGGAUUUGAGAUGUUUCUCUCUGAUAGGCAGGGUAAAGACUGCAUAAAGAUAUCUAGGCCAACAAGGUUUGAUAACUGUCUGAUCUGCCCCUGUUUAUUACAGAGUAUGGUGGUUGAGAGUCCUAUUGGAGUCGUUGUAGGCAAAGUAGAACAGAAGCUAACCCUCUUCUCUCCUGAAUAUGAAGUACUAGAUGCAGAUGAUACUCCUGUAUUCAAUA